Non-coding RNA from Macaca mulatta (Rhesus monkey), 2069 nucleotides. NCBI's taxonomy places the organism in Eukaryota, Metazoa, Chordata, Mammalia, Primates, Cercopithecidae. The record is from RefSeq and is a predicted model, not a curated record.
UCGUCCCUGACAAUAGCAGGGACCAAGGAAUAGAGUAGUCACUCAGGCUGGGGGAGGAAGGCUGUGGGACUGGGCUCAAGCCUGUGGAGGGUGAUCGUCUUCAGCCACUUCAAGGCCACAAUAGCUGAUUCUGGAGGUUGACCUAGGAGUGGAAGAAUAAAAUCGGGUUUGAGUUUCUCUUCUGCUUGUGUUGUCCCAUGCAGGGAGUUGUGCAGAGGGACAAGAUAAUAAUAAUUGAAUGCUAGGUAGGAAAUGUAGAUUGUUGACAAAAUCUCUAUGCCUCUCAUUUCAGCCUUUCCCUCCCCACCCCAGGUCACCCCGCCCAAAGCCUAGAUAAUGCCAGUGGAAUCCACAGAUUCUGCUGGGGUCUCAGUCACCACAACCUCAGAUGUCCCCAGGGACCUGACUAGAACCCUUGCACUAACCUCCUCAAGACAAGCAGUUCGCCCCUUCUGUUUCCUGGUGGUGUGCCACGCCCAACAACCUUUCCAAUCUGCAGAGAGACCAGAGCCAGUGAGAACGGAGCACUUGAUGGAUUGACUGUUGAUUUGUUGCUUUCCUGAUUCACCAUUCCGGCUAUCAGGCAGCCCCCACGCCCACACCGACCUCUACUGAUCGGAGGAAACUUCCUCCCUCGCUUCAAGCGGAGCCACCUGCUAUAGCAGACCUGCAGGAUGACAGAUCGAAAACAUGGGGAGUAAGUGCUGUUGAGAGAGGAGGAUUAUGAACAAACUAUCCGAUAGGUUUCCCUGCUGUCAUUUCCCCCACUUCCCCCCCACCACACACACACAAAGCACGCCAUUUCGCCACAGUCCGGGGAGUGCAACAAAUACAUUCGGACUCAAACCUGUACCUAGAUUAUUACCUUCUCUGCCUUCUCCCCACCCCCGCGGCCAACCCCGUCCCUCCUAGAGUCCCCAGAUGGUCUUACCCUCAAAUCGACCUUCACCGAUUAGGAUUAAUUUCCUUCCUCUUCUUUUGCCUGGCGUUGUGCCGCAACCUACAGAAAGACUGGCCACCCGGGAGAGGCUUGGACCCACUAGACACAGAGCCAUGGUCAGGAAGACACAGCCACAGGCAGAAAGACGGGAAACUGCCGCCACUGCGUGCUUGGUGGACGGACUAGUCCCCAGAACACAAAACUCUUUUCUAAUUCGGAGGCCUGGUUGUCAGAGGUUUCCCACCCUUAUUACCUCUCUUGGGGUUCUGCUGACAUAUCACGUUGCAUCUCACCACCCCCGCCCCCAUAUCCAGCCAUUCCCCUCCGGCACUGUCCUGGUGGACUAGGGGCCAACACCCAGGCCACAGCUCCCUUUCCGGAUUGCGGGCCUAGGCUCCCAGCAGAUUCCCAUCUCCCGAUCUCUGAGCUUUUCCCCAAACACUCCCCAGCUCACCGUUUCGCAGCAUCGAAAUGGGGUGCAGGCGGGACAUAUGUCUUGGAAAGCGGGCGGCGAGUGGGAGAGACGACGGAGGCGCCUCAGUACCCGCGACGGUCUCGGCCCUACACCCUCUAGCACCCUGACUUUAUGGAAUCUCCCAGGCACUGACCUGCAGGGAUCCGGGACAAUUUUCUUCUCCUCUUCCUUUUUCCCUCCGCCGCAGGCCCGCCCGCCCUCAGGGCAAUGGGGAGCUGGUACUCAGACGGGAACAACGACCAGGACAAGAAGGACUUCUGCACACGUCAGCUCUUGGUCACGUGAGAGCUACGUCAUCCACCAACUCGGGUCCCCAAUUUCCCCUCCCACCAGCAGUGCGGCAGAAGAGGGCCCGCCCCCCUCCUUUCCCUCCCCCACACCAGGCCUUGUUACUCUUUCUUCUUCGAUAAUCUCAUCACCUUGUAGUUGUGUUUCCCUUCCACCGAUUACCAGAAAGGGACGACAUCUUCCCCUGGGGCUACGGGCCACUUGUACUUUUUAUGAAAAAUUGCCUCUUCCUUCCCUAGGCUCCUGGGACAGCAGCCUCUCCCUCCACCUUCCCUCCCCCGAGCUAUUAAAGUCUACCAUUUCCUCUGAAAUCUAGUCCCAGAUCUGAAAGGAACAAGCGAUCGGAAAAGAAAAUCUGGAAUGAGA